ACCAGCAUGGCUGAGUGGUUAAGGUGUUGGACUUAAGAUCCAACAGGCACCAGCUCACAUGGGUUCAAACCCCACCCCCGGUA
This 83-nucleotide transfer RNA is filed under the name Poecilia formosa (Amazon molly). It matches the Rfam family "tRNA". Rfam says of the family: Transfer RNA (tRNA) molecules are approximately 80 nucleotides in length. Their secondary structure includes four short double-helical elements and three loops (D, anti-codon, and T loops). The record is from Rfam by way of RNAcentral. Lineage: Eukaryota; Metazoa; Chordata; Actinopteri; Cyprinodontiformes; Poeciliidae.